RNAcentral lists this transfer RNA (62 nucleotides) under Physosmaragdina nigrifrons. RNAcentral describes it as "tRNA-Thr". It matches the Rfam family "tRNA". From Rfam's summary of the family: Transfer RNA (tRNA) molecules are approximately 80 nucleotides in length. Their secondary structure includes four short double-helical elements and three loops (D, anti-codon, and T loops). The record is from RNAcentral. Lineage: Eukaryota; Metazoa; Arthropoda; Insecta; Coleoptera; Chrysomelidae.
ACUUUAAUAAUUUAAUAAAAAUAUUGGUCUUGUAAACCAAAAAUGAGGCACCUCUUAAAGUA